AACGAACGCUGGCGGCAGGCUUAACACAUGCAAGUCGAACGCCCCGCAAGGGGAGUGGCAGACGGGUGAGUAACGCGUGGGAACAUACCCUUUUCUACGGAAUAGCUCUGGGAAACUGGAAUUAAUACCGUAUACGCCCUACGGGGGAAAGAUUUAUCGGGGAAGGAUUGGCCCGCGUUGGAUUAGCUAGUUGGUGGGGUAAAGGCCUACCAAGGCGACGAUCCAUAGCUGGUCUGAGAGGAUGAUCAGCCACAUUGGGACUGAGACACGGCCCAAACUCCUACGGGAGGCAGCAGUGGGGAAUAUUGGACAAUGGGCGCAAGCCUGAUCCAGCCAUGCCGCGUGAGUGAUGAAGGCCUUAGGGUUGUAAAGCUCUUUCACCGAUGAAGAUAAUGACGGUAGUCGGAGAAGAAGCCCCGGCUAACUUCG
Molecule: ribosomal RNA, 429 nt
Filed under: uncultured bacterium
Lineage: Bacteria
Description: partial 16S ribosomal RNA
Rfam family: Bacterial small subunit ribosomal RNA
Source: RNAcentral